CGGUUGAUCCUGCCGGAGGCCACUGCUAUGGGGGUCCGACUAAGCCAUGCGAGUCAUGGGGCGCCUUGCGCGCACCGGCGGACGGCUCAGUAACACGUCGGUAACCUACCCUCGGGAGGGGGAUAACCCCGGGAAACUGGGGCUAAUCCCCCAUAGGUCUAGGUUGCUGGAAUGCACCUAGGCCGAAAGCUCCGGCGCCCGAGGAUGGGGCUGCGGCCUAUCAGGUUGUAGUGGGGGUAACGGCCCCACUAGCCUACGACGGGUACGGGCUGUGGGAGCAGGAGCCCGGAGAUGGACCCUGAGACAAGGGUCCAGGCCCUACGGGGCGCAGCAGGCGCGAAACCUCCGCAAUGCGCGCAAGCGCGACGGGGGGACUCCGAGUGCCCUGGCCUUUGGUCAGGGCUUUUCCGGAGUCUAAAAAGCUCCGGGAAUAAGGGCUGGGCAAGACGGGUGCCAGCCGCCGCGGUAAUACCCGCAGCUCGAGUGGUGGCCACUAUUAUUGGGCCUAAAACGUCCGUAGCCGGCCUGGUAAAUGCCUGGGUAAAUCGUGAGGCUCAACCUCACGAAUUCCGGGCAGACUGC
RNAcentral lists this ribosomal RNA (582 nucleotides) under uncultured archaeon. RNAcentral's name for it is "bacterial SSU rRNA". It matches the Rfam family "Archaeal small subunit ribosomal RNA", at positions 5 to 587 of the family's 1478-position model. The record is from RNAcentral.